AAAUGAAUAGACGGGCACCCGCACAAGCGGUGGAGCAUGCCGUUUAAUUCGAAAAUACGCGAAAAACCUUACCUAGACUUGACAUCCCUUGCAAAGCUAUAGAAAUAUAGUGGAGGUUACCAAGGUGACAGGUGGUGCAUGGUUGUCGUCAGCUCGUGUCGUGAGAUGUUCGGUUAAGUCCGCUAACGAGCGCAACCCUUGUCAUUAGUUACUAACAUUUAGUUGAGAACUCUAAUGAGACUGCCGAUAAUAAAUCGGAGGAAGGUGGGGAUGACGUCAAAUCAUCAUGCCCCUUACGUCUAGGGCAACAGGCGUGCUACAAUGGCUGGUACAAUGAGAUGCAAUCUCGCGAGAGGGAGCUAAUCUAAAAAGCCAGUCUCAGUUCGGAUUGAAGUCUGCAACUCGACUUCAUGAAGCUGAAAUCGCUAGUAAUCCCGGAUCAGAAUGCCGGGGUGAAUACGUUCUCGGGUGUUGUACACACCGCCCGU
This 488-nucleotide ribosomal RNA is filed under the name uncultured bacterium. RNAcentral describes it as "bacterial SSU rRNA". It matches the Rfam family "Bacterial small subunit ribosomal RNA", at positions 903 to 1397 of the family's 1533-position model. The record is from RNAcentral.